This 496-nucleotide ribosomal RNA is filed under the name uncultured bacterium. RNAcentral describes it as "partial 16S ribosomal RNA". It matches the Rfam family "Bacterial small subunit ribosomal RNA", at positions 28 to 506 of the family's 1533-position model. The record is from RNAcentral.
GAUGAACGCUGGCGGCGUGCCUAAUACAUGCAAGUCGAGCGAACAGACGAGGAGCUUGCUCCUCUGACGUUAGCGGCGGACGGGUGAGUAACACGUGGAUAACCUACCUAUAAGACUGGGAUAACUUCGGGAAACCGGAGCUAAUACCGGAUAAUAUAUUGAACCGCAUGGUUCAAUAGUGAAAGACGGUUUUGCUGUCACUUAUAGAUGGAUCCGCGCCGCAUUAGCUAGUUGGUAAGGUAACGGCUUACCAAGGCGACGAUGCGUAGCCGACCUGAGAGGGUGAUCGGCCACACUGGAACUGAGACACGGUCCAGACUCCUACGGGAGGCGGCAGUAGGGAAUCUUCCGCAAUGGGCGAAAGCCUGACGGAGCAACGCCGCGUGAGUGAUGAAGGUCUUCGGAUCGUAAAACUCUGUUAUUAGGGAAGAACAAAUGUGUAAGUAACUAUGCACGUCUUGACGGUACCUAAGCAGAAAGCCACGGCUAACUACGU